This 76-nucleotide transfer RNA is filed under the name bacterium. Its description in RNAcentral is "tRNA-Arg". It matches the Rfam family "tRNA". From Rfam's summary of the family: Transfer RNA (tRNA) molecules are approximately 80 nucleotides in length. Their secondary structure includes four short double-helical elements and three loops (D, anti-codon, and T loops). The record is from RNAcentral.
GCGCCUGUAGCUCAGUGGAUAGAGCAUAUGCCUUCUAAGCAUGUGGUCGUAGGUUCGACUCCUAUCAGGCGCGCCA